UACAGAGGUCCCGAGCGUUGUUCGGAUUCACUGGGCGUAAAGGGUGCGUAGGCGGUCGGGUAAGUCUGACGUGAAAUCUCCAAGCUCAACUUGGAAAUGGCGUUGGAUACUAUUUGGCUUGAGGAACGGAGGGGAGACUGGAAUUCUCGGUGUAGCAGUGAAAUGCGUAGAUAUCGAGAGGAACACCAGUGGCGAAGGCGAGUCUCUGGACGUUUCCUGACGCUGAGGCACGAAAGCCAGGGGAGCAAACGGG
Molecule: ribosomal RNA, 253 nt
Filed under: uncultured bacterium
Lineage: Bacteria
Description: partial 16S ribosomal RNA
Rfam family: Bacterial small subunit ribosomal RNA
Source: RNAcentral